CCUACGGGUGGCAGCAGUGGGGAAUAUUGCACAAUGGGGGGAACCCUGAUGCAGCAACGCCGCGUGAAGGAAGACGGUUUUCGGAUUGUAAACUUCUAUCAAUAGGGAAGAAAGAAAUGACGGAACCUGAUUAAGAAGCCCCGGCUAACUACGUGCCAGCAGCCGCGGUAAUACGUAGGGGGCAAGCGUUAUCCGGAUUUACUGGGUGUAAAGGGAGCGUAGACGGUGAUGCAAGUCAGAAGUGAAAGCCCGGGGCUCAACUCCGGGACUGCUUUUGAAACUGUGUGACUGGAGUGCAGGAGAGGUAAGCGGAAUUCCUGGUGUAGCGGUGAAAUGCGUAGAUAUCAGGAGGAACACCAGUGGCGAAGGCGGCUUACUGGACUGUAACUGACGUUGAGGCUCGAAAGCGUGGGGAGCAAACAGGAUUAGAUACCCCUGUAGUC
RNAcentral lists this ribosomal RNA (443 nucleotides) under uncultured bacterium. RNAcentral describes it as "partial 16S ribosomal RNA". It matches the Rfam family "Bacterial small subunit ribosomal RNA", at positions 338 to 795 of the family's 1533-position model. The record is from RNAcentral.